UACGGAGGGUGCAAGCGUUAUCCGGAUUUACUGGGUUUAAAGGGUGUGUAGGCGGACUUUUAAGUCAGCGGUGAAAUCUCCGGGCUCAACCCGGAAACUGCCAUUGAUACUAUGGGUCUUGAAUGUUGUUGAGGUGGGCGGAACGGGUCAUGUAGCGGUGAAAUGCAUAGAUAUGACCCGGAACACCGAUUGCGUAGGCAGCCCACUAAGCAACGAUUGACGCUGAGGCACGAAAGCGUGGGGAUCAAACAGG
This 253-nucleotide ribosomal RNA is filed under the name uncultured Bacteroidota bacterium. RNAcentral's name for it is "uncultured Bacteroidetes bacterium partial 16S ribosomal RNA". It matches the Rfam family "Bacterial small subunit ribosomal RNA", at positions 524 to 776 of the family's 1533-position model. Lineage: Bacteria; Pseudomonadati; Bacteroidota. The record is from RNAcentral.